AUGAAGUGCGUACGACUUUUUGUCAGUUGUGCGGGCAUCGGCGAGUGUUAAGUGUGUUGUAGAAUCGGUCCAUCGUAAAAGAAACAGUUUCUCUCUAACCAUGAGUGGAUAUGCCUGGGUUACACUGGCUACCAACGAUGCCUAUUCCUUGGGAGCGUUAGUACUGGCACACUCUCUGCGUCGUGUUGGUACCAAACAUGAAUUGGCCGUCUUGGUUACUCCGGGAGUAACCGAAGUAAUGAGGGAGAAGUUGUCGGCGGUUUUCUCGGUGGUAAUGGAAGUGAAUGUACUCGAUUCAAAAGAUGAGGCUAAUUUGGCAUUGUUAGCUAGACCAGAAUUGGGCAUUACAUUUACGAAACUUCAUUGUUGGAGACUGUCUCAAUACGAUAAAUGCGUAUUCCUUGACGCGGACACACUUGUCGUCAGAAACUGUGAUGAGUUAUUCGAAAGGGAGGAGUUAUCCGCUGCUCCCGACGUGGGCUGGCCCGAUUGCUUUAAUUCUGGCGUAUUUGUGUACAAACCGUCGCAACAAACCUUUGCUUCGAUCACCGCGUUCGCCGCUGCCAAAGGCUCGUUCGACGGCGGUGAUCAGGGCCUGUUGAACAUGUACUUCAGCGACUGGGCCCACAAGGAUAUUUCGAAACAUCUACCAUUCAUCUAUAACAUGUGUUCCACUGCUGUGUAUUCGUAUCUUCCUGCGUUCAAACAGUUCGGAGAUGAUGUUAGGAUAAUUCAUUUCAUUGGUAUCACCAAACCUUGGUUACAGUAUUUCGAUACUUUAACUGGUAUUGUUCAACCACCAAUGGAGUCGGCUCAUUUGCAACCACUGUUACAAUUGUGGUGGAACAUAUUUUGUGAUAAAGUCCAUCCUCACUUGUCCCCCGUUAUGGCCACCAGCACAUUGGCACCAAUUUGGCACGAAUUUUCUCCUGCACCUUAUCGGUCCUCUGUUCCGCAAAGUCCUCCCGUUUACACAGACAUACAAGACAAACCACAGAACGACAUUUAUAUAGAACCGCCAGACUUCUCAGAAUUUAAAGAUCCAUGGGAAAAUUAUUGUGCACAACAUGAUCCAGUUAUCCAUAUGCAAGAAAACAAUAACGAAAUUCAACAGUAUUAUCCCACAAUUGACAGACCUUCACCUGUAACUGUAUUAAGUGACACAUUUAAUUUUGUAAAACCUAUUCACCAGACUCGUUAUGAAUCACCGCUAGAACAUAAUAAUAGGGAGGCGUUUCAUAAGCAACACUAUAACGAAUAUAAUUCUUCCCCUUCGUAUAUUCAACACCAUCAUAAUCAAGAACAAUCUAAUCAAUACAUCAGUGAGCAUAAGCAACAACAGCAUUCAUUUUUCCAUUCGGAAAAUACAUCCACCGCGAACGUUCAUUCUGAUUAUUGGCAGAAUCAUCACAGUGUCGAAAGUUCUGUAUCUGUACAUAGUACGCAAAAUCAGCAUUCAGAUGAAUCUCAUAAGCAUUAUAAUGCUGAUCAUCAAGACACUCAUCAACAUUCUUGCGGUAACGUUACAGUCCCGGAAGAAACGAGACAACAUCAACAUGUUGAUUAUCAUCGUGCUUAUCAACAUUCUUGCAAUAUCGAUCAUAGAUCAUUUCCACAAGAAACAAAACAACCGGAUCAUGUUGAACAUCGACAUGCUCAUAAUCAUUUUUCUGACAACAACAGACAAUUACCAGAAGAACCAAAACCAUAUCGACACAAUGAACAUUUUGUUGAUCAUAUGCAAAGUCAGCAUCAUCAAACGUACGAUAAUGUAACUAGUCGACAAACUACUCAACAUUAUCAGCAAGACAACCAAACUCAUCAUAAGUGGGAAGAACACACGAAUGAUAAAGUUAAUCAUGAACAGCCUAAAGAAAUCAAUAUAGCUCAUCAUAAUGAUCUGUCUGCUAAACAAAGCGCUGACCAAGGUGAUAAUGUAAACAUUACAGACGUACGGACUAAUUCACUGAUAUCUACUAGCCCUCCUCCUGAUUCCAAACCUUGUACAGAUAUCCACAAUGUAGCAACGCAAUCUGACCCACACAAAACGGAAGACAGUUCAGAUGCUGGUCUCGCUGGUGCCUUGGCUCAAAUCACAUUGGGUGAACCCAGAAGCGCCGAACAAAUUGCCCUAGAAGAACAUAUGCGAAAACAAAGCUGGGAGCAGGGACACAUUGAUUAUAUGGGUCGUGAUAGCUUUGACAAUAUUUGGAAGAAAAUCUGCCAAACGCUCUCCCUUGCACCGACACGAUUACCCUCUCCCCCUAAGGAAAUUCAAAAGCCCACAAAAACUGCUGCAUCUGAUGAGACUGCCAAGUCUACUGAAUGUACUGAAUCUACUGAAGUUAUUGAACCUACUAAAUCUAUCGGAGUUGUUGAACCUACUGAAUCUACUGAGGUUGUUGAAUCUACUCAAUCUACUGAAGCAAGAGAUGAGGUGGAUAAGAGAACUGGAACGGAGGACAGCAACUAACAGAUCCUGGCGCCAUAGCAUUGCUACGUCUUGUAUUGUCAUUUUGCUUUAAUGGGCUCAAGCAGCAACCAGUCCUACUGAAGAACAAUCUCUACUUACAAAUGUUCCUGUAACAGACAAUGGUAGCACAGA
RNAcentral lists this unclassified non-coding RNA (2605 nucleotides) under Dufourea novaeangliae. Its description in RNAcentral is "mucin-17, transcript variant X1". Lineage: Eukaryota; Metazoa; Arthropoda; Insecta; Hymenoptera; Halictidae. The record is from RNAcentral.